RNAcentral lists this ribosomal RNA (279 nucleotides) under uncultured bacterium. RNAcentral's name for it is "partial 16S ribosomal RNA". It matches the Rfam family "Bacterial small subunit ribosomal RNA", at positions 506 to 784 of the family's 1533-position model. The record is from RNAcentral.
UGCCAGCCGCCGCGGUAAUACGGAGGGUGCAAGCGUUGUCCGGAAUCAUUGGGUGUAAAGGGUGCGUAGGCGGGUUACUAAGUCUGGGGUGAAAUCCUGCCGCUUAACGGUAGAAUGGCCUUGGAUACUGGUAACCUUGAGUACAGAAGAGGUCGGUGGAAUUCGUAGUGUAGCGGUGAAAUGCAUAGAUAUUACGAAGAACACCAGUGGCGAAGGCGGCCGACUGGUCUGUAACUGACGCUGAGGCACGAAAGCGUGGGGAGCGAACAGGAUUAGCUA